GAUGAACGCUGGCGGCGUGCCUAAUACAUGCCAGUCGAGCGAACGGACGAGAAGCUUGCUUUUCUGAUGUUAGCGGCGGACGGGUGAGUAACACGUGGAUAACCUACCUAUAAGACUGGGAUAACUUCGGGAAACCGGAGCUAAUACCGGAUAAUAUUUUGAACCGCAUGGUUCAAAAGUGAAAGACGGUCUUGCUGUCACUUAUAGAUGGAUCCGCGCUGCAUUAGCUAGUUGGUAAGGUAACGGCUUACCAAGGCAACGAUGCAUAGCCGACCUGAGAGGGUGAUCCGCCACACUGGAACUGAGACACGGUCGAGACUCCUACAGGAGGCAGCAGUAGGGACUCUUCCGCAAUGGACGAAAGCCUGACGGAGCAACGCCGCGUGAGUGAUGAAGGUCUACGGAUCGUAAAACUAUGUUAUUAGGGAAGAACAUAUGUGUAAGUAACUGUGCACAUCUUGACGGUACCUAAUCAGAAAGCCACGGCUAACUACGUG
Molecule: ribosomal RNA, 497 nt
Filed under: uncultured bacterium
Lineage: Bacteria
Description: partial 16S ribosomal RNA
Rfam family: Bacterial small subunit ribosomal RNA
Source: RNAcentral